RNAcentral lists this long non-coding RNA (551 nucleotides) under Oryctolagus cuniculus (rabbit). RNAcentral describes it as "lncRNA (ENSOCUG00000039522.1)". Lineage: Eukaryota; Metazoa; Chordata; Mammalia; Lagomorpha; Leporidae. The record is from RNAcentral.
AUGGAUUUGCUGAAAAGCCAUUAUUUCAAAAACACAAUUCUGAUCCUCACAGCACAUCUCAGACAAGCCUCUACAAUCCACUUGCCAGCAGCUGCGCACAUGGAUAAAACCGUGCUUUGUGGGAGUUUUCUACAAGUAGCAAAGUCUACAUGUUCUCUUCAGUUGCUUCGGAGCAGGGAUUUGCUGGUGAAGAUGGUUGCAGGAAGGAUGGCUAUUGAAACACUUCAUUUAUGUCUGAAUCUCAAGCUUUGGAAUAAAGCAACGUUCUCAACCCUGGCUGCAUGUUAGAUGCCCUGGCAAGAGGCUUUGAGUGUGGAAAGAAUAUAAUGGCAGAAAUGCAAAGAUUUGAGCACAAUUUUUUUCCAGCAAAACUGCAGCCCAUUGGGGAAAACAACAUUAAUCCCAGGAGCAGAGGUCUUACAGCUGUGAUUCCAGAGGACAAGUCCCAGCUGAUCAGCAUGCACCGGGUCACCUGGCACUUUCUGGGAAAUGCAAUUCUUCAGCCACCACAGUAUCAUCCAGGGCCAGUGACCUGUUUUCCAAGUCACUAG